UUUAUGGAGAGUUUGAUCCUGGCUCAGGAUGAACGCUGGCGGCGUGCCUAAUACAUGCAAGUCGAGCGAACGGACGAGAAGCUUGCUUCUCUGAUGUUAGCGGCGGACGGGUGAGUAACACGUGGAUAACCUACCUAUAAGACUGGGAUAACUUCGGGAAACCGGAGCUAAUACCGGAUAAUAUUUUGAACCGCAUGGUUCAAAAGUGAAAGACGGUCUUGCUGUCACUUAUAGAUGGAUCCGCGCUGCAUUAGCUAGUUGGUAAGGUAACGGCUUACCAAGGCAACGAUGCAUAGCCGACCUGAGAGGGUGAUCGGCCACACUGGAACUGAGACACGGUCCAGACUCCUACGGGAGGCAGCAGUAGGGAAUCUUCCGCAAUGGGCGAAAGCCUGACGGAGCAACGCCGCGUGAGUGAUGAAGGUCUUCGGAUCGUAAAACUCUGUUAUUAGGGAAGAACAUAUGUGUAAGUAACUGUGCACAUCUUGACGGUACCUAAUCAGAAAGCCACGGCUAACUACGUGCCAGCAGCCGCGGUAAUACGUAGGUGGCAAGCGUUAUCCGGAAUUAUUGGGCGUAAAGCGCGCGUAGGCGGUUUUUUAAGUCUGAUGUGAAAGCCCACGGCUCAACCGUGGAGGGUCAUUGGAAACUGGAAAACUUGAGUGCAGAAGAGGAAAGUGGAAUUCCAUGUGUAGCGGUGAAAUGCGCAGAGAUAUGGAGGAACACCAGUGGCGAAGGCGACUUCCUGGUCUGUAACUGACGCUGAUGUGCGAAAGCGUGGGGAUCAAACAGGAUUAGAUACCCUGGUAGUCCACGCCGUAAACGAUGAGUGCUAAGUGUUAGGGGGUUUCCGCCCCUUAGUGCUGCAGCUAACGCAUUAAGCACUCCGCCUGGGGAGUACGACCGCAAGGUUGAAACUCAAAGGAAUUGACGGGGACCCGCACAAGCGGUGGAGCAUGUGGUUUAAUUCGAAGCAACGCGAAGAACCUUACCAAAUCUUGACAUCCUUUGACAACUCUAGAGAUAGAGCCUUCCCCUUCGGGGGACAAAGUGACAGGUGGUGCAUGGUUGUCGUCAGCUCGUGUCGUGAGAUGUUGGGUUAAGUCCCGCAACGAGCGCAACCCUUAAGCUUAGUUGCCAUCAUUAAGUUGGGCACUCUAAGUUGACUGCCGGUGACAAACCGGAGGAAGGUGGGGAUGACGUCAAAUCAUCAUGCCCCUUAUGAUUUGGGCUACACACGUGCUACAAUGGACAAUACAAAGGGCAGCGAAACCGCGAGGUCAAGCAAAUCCCAUAAAGUUGUUCUCAGUUCGGAUUGUAGUCUGCAACUCGACUACAUGAAGCUGGAAUCGCUAGUAAUCGUAGAUCAGCAUGCUACGGUGAAUACGUUCCCGGGUCUUGUACACACCGCCCGUCACACCACGAGAGUUUGUAACACCCGAAGCCGGUGGAGUAACCUUUUAGGAGCUAGCCGUCGAAGGUGGGACAAAUGAUUGGGGUGAAGUCGUAACAAGGUAGCCGUAUCGGAAGGUGCGGCUGGAUCACCUCCUUU
Molecule: ribosomal RNA, 1552 nt
Filed under: Staphylococcus aureus Bmb9393
Lineage: Bacteria; Bacillati; Bacillota; Bacilli; Caryophanales; Staphylococcaceae
Description: 16S ribosomal RNA
Rfam family: Bacterial small subunit ribosomal RNA
Source: RNAcentral